Molecule: long non-coding RNA, 451 nt
Filed under: Olea europaea (common olive)
Lineage: Eukaryota; Viridiplantae; Streptophyta; Magnoliopsida; Lamiales; Oleaceae
Description: long non-coding RNA (OEUR_LNC007656)
Source: RNAcentral
AGGAAUGAAACCCAGUUGGAGGAUCCCCAAAUCAGAUAGCCCAAAGAACGAAGCCCAAUCAAACAAGUCAAGAUGAAGGCCCAAAUAGGGAGGCCCAAGAACGCGGUAACACCAUCGCCCAAGUUUGCAAGUCGCCCAGAAUCUAAGCGAAUGGAGUGCCAUGCAGUCGCCCAGAGCUGUUACUCUAUUCUCGCCCAAACCUUCUAAUCGCCCAAGGUCUUAGCAAACAUAAAGUGUUGCGGUUAUCAAGAAGUGUAGUUAUCAAAGCAGUUAUUAAAGCAGCCCUAUCACGUUCCACGAUUCAAGGAAUUCAAUCGAAAACGGUUGAACGACGAAGAGUAAUGGCAGCAGUUAAAAAAGGCAGUUCCAUAACAAGUUGGCCAUUACGAGGAAAGUGGGCAGUUGUAGAACGAUCAAGCAGUUUUAGGGCGGUUGAUCACAAAGAGAUCAU